UAGGGGGCGAGCGUUGUCCGGAUUUAUUGGGCGUAAAGAGCGUGUAGGCGGCCAGGUAGGUCUGCUGUGAAAACUCGAGGCUCAACCUCGAGACGUCGGCGGAAACCAUCUGGCUAGAGUCCGGAAGAGGAGAGUGGAAUUCCUGGUGUAGCGGUGAAAUGCGCAGAUAUCAGGAAGAACACCCGUGGCGAAGGCGGCUCUCUGGGACGGUACUGACGCUGAGACGCGAAAGCGUGGGGAGCGAACAGG
RNAcentral lists this ribosomal RNA (249 nucleotides) under uncultured bacterium. Its description in RNAcentral is "partial 16S ribosomal RNA". It matches the Rfam family "Bacterial small subunit ribosomal RNA", at positions 528 to 776 of the family's 1533-position model. The record is from RNAcentral.